GCAGUCGAGCGAACGGACGAGAAGCUUGCUUCUCUGAUGUUAGCGGCGGACGGGUGAGUAACACGUGGAUAACCUACCUAUAAGACUGGGAUAACUUCGGGAAACCGGAGCUAAUACCGGAUAAUAUUUUGAACCGCAUGGUUCAAAAGUGAAAGACGGUCUUGCUGUCACUUAUAGAUGGAUCCGCGCUGCAUUAGCUAGUUGGUAAGGUAACGGCUUACCAAGGCAACGAUGCAUAGCCGACCUGAGAGGGUGAUCGGCCACACUGGAACUGAGACACGGUCCAGACUCCUACGGGAGGCAGCAGUAGGGAAUCUUCCGCAAUGGGCGAAAGCCUGACGGAGCAACGCCGCGUGAGUGAUGAAGGUCUUCGGAUCGUAAAACUCUGUUAUUAGGGAAGAACAUAUGUGUAAGUAACUGUGCACAUCUUGACGGUACCUAAUCAGAAAGCCACGGCUAACUACGUGCCAGCAGCCGCGGUAAUACGUAGGUGGCAAGCGUUAUCCGGAAUUAUUGGGCGUAAAGCGCGCGUAGGCGGUUUUUUAAGUCUGAUGUGAAAGCCCACGGCUCAACCGUGGAGGGUCAUUGGAAACUGGAAAACUUGAGUGCAGAAGAGGAAAGUGGAAUUCCAUGUGUAGCGGUGAAAUGCGCAGAGAUAUGGAGGAACACCAGUGGCGAAGGCGACUUUCUGGUCUGUAACUGACGCUGAUGUGCGAAAGCGUGGGGAUCAAACAGGAUUAGAUACCCUGGUAGUCCACGCCGUAAACGAUGAGUGCUAAGUGUUAUGGGGUUUCCGCCCCUUAGUGCUGCAGCUAACGCAUUAAGCACUCCGCCUGGGGAGUACGACCGC
Molecule: ribosomal RNA, 850 nt
Filed under: Staphylococcus cohnii
Lineage: Bacteria; Bacillati; Bacillota; Bacilli; Caryophanales; Staphylococcaceae
Description: bacterial SSU rRNA
Rfam family: Bacterial small subunit ribosomal RNA
Source: RNAcentral